AGUGAACGCUGGCGGUAGGCCUAACACAUGCAAGUCGAACGGCGGCACAGUAAGAGCUUGCUCUUACGGGUGGCGAGUGGCGGACGGGUGAGGAAUACAUCGGAAUCUACUUUUUCGUGGGGGAUAACGUAGGGAAACUUACGCUAAUACCGCAUACGACCUACGGGUGAAGGCAGGGGAUCUUCGGACCUUGCGCGAUUGAAUGAGCCGAUGUCGGAUUAGCUAGUUGGCGGGGUAAAGGCCCACCAAGGCGACGAUCCGUAGCUGGUCUGAGAGGAUGAUCAGCCACACUGGAACUGAGACACGGUCCAGACUCCUACGGGAGGCAGCAGUGGGGAAUAUUGGACAAUGGGCGCAAGCCUGAUCCAGCCAUACCGCGUGGGUGAAGAAGGCCUUCGGGUUGUAAAGCCCUUUUGUUGGGAAAGAAAAGCAGCAGGUUAAUACCCCGCUGUUCUGACGGUACCCAAAGAAUAAGCACCGGCUAACUUCGUG
This 492-nucleotide ribosomal RNA is filed under the name uncultured bacterium. RNAcentral describes it as "partial 16S ribosomal RNA". It matches the Rfam family "Bacterial small subunit ribosomal RNA", at positions 29 to 507 of the family's 1533-position model. The record is from RNAcentral.